CCCUUAGAUGUUCUGGGCCGCACGCGUGCUACACUGAGUGGAUCAGCGGGUCAGGUUGCGCGAAAGUGUUUCCUAAUCUUUAAAUCCGCUCGUGAUGGGGAUUGACGGUUGCAAUUUUCCGUCAUGAACGAGGAAUACCUUGUAAGCGCGGGUCAUCAUCCCGCGCUGAAUACGUCCCUGCCCUUUGUACACACCGCCCGUCGCUCCUACCGAUUGAGUGGUCCGGUGAAGCUUUGGGAUCUGAGCGGAAAGAGCGUUUCGCUGUUUCUGCCCGGAAAACUCAGUCGAACCUUAUCAUUUAGAGGAAGGAGAAGUCGUAACA
RNAcentral lists this ribosomal RNA (322 nucleotides) under uncultured eukaryote. Its description in RNAcentral is "partial 18S ribosomal RNA". It matches the Rfam family "Eukaryotic small subunit ribosomal RNA", at positions 1470 to 1796 of the family's 1831-position model. The record is from RNAcentral.